GUUAUUUGACUGGAGUGAGGUCUCAUGUCUGCUUAUGCGGUGGCUCGCUGCUCAGAACAGGAUGGCAGAGAUGAGCACCACCAUCAAAAACUCAAGGACCAGUGCUGUGGGUCCAGUCAUCUGUUUCAUGGAAUUCACCAGUCUGGUAUCUUCAAAAUCCAGAAGGAUGAUGGCAGAUGGCAGGAAGGAACCAUUGGAGAUACUCAUUACUCUUUGAAGGCUUACAGUGGAAUGAAUUCAAAUACGACUUAUUUGAGGAAUUGAAGUUGACUUUAUGGAGCUGAUAAGAAUCUUCUUGGAGAAAAAAAGACUGGGUAUAUUUUCAAUAUGCUUUCCUUUUAAGGUCCCUCACCUGUGGAAAGUAAAGAAUGUCACUUUCUGACAGGCUCAGGAACCUCAAGUUAUGUAGGGAUCUCAAGAAGAUGGGGGAAUUCACCCAGUUCAUACAGGUGAAAUUGCUGUUGCAAAGAUUAUGAAUAUGAGAGAAGUCCAGCAUGGCUGACUUCAUCUCGUGUCUGGCCUCAGGCUGGCUGCCCUUGCUCACUCUUGGGCAUAGGCCAAGCUAGCCAUGGGAGGAAUUUAGUUUAUAGUUUAACUUUGAAGCACGGAUGAUAAUAGUCUCUCCCUAAAAUGAACCCCUUCCUUGCUCAGGGACUGAAACUACCUUUGUAUGACAAAUGAAAGCCCACAAGAUUAAGAUUAUGAGAGGGGCCUGAAUUCUGCUAAAAUGCAGGUGUAGCUGACUGAUAACAAGUCAUUGUCCCACAGCUUGCCUUUCUAUAAUCUCUUGCUUCUCAGGAGUCACAUGGCCAGAGGUCCUGAGAUUUCCAGUCCUGUGACCCCCACCCAGAGAUGGACUUAGUGCAUGAGGACCAUUUUCCACACCCCUAUGAUUUCAUCCUCAAACAAUCAGCAGCAACCAUUCCCUAGCCCCCUGCCUUCCAAAUUAUCCAUAAAAAUCCUAGCCUCUGAGUUAUUAGGGAGAUUGAUUAAUAAUCCCAGUCCUACCCCUUGGGUUGCUCUGAUUUAAUUAAACCUUCUCUACUGCAAUACCACGGACUCAGUAAAUUGGUUUUGUCUGUGCAAUGGGCAAGAAGAACAUGUUGCAUGGUUAUACAGGUACUACAAGCACAGUCUGAUGGCAAAUUAUUGGUUUUGCUUCCUGCCCUUGAUGUUUCUAAACAUCUAGUCCAAAAUUACUUGUGAAAGGUCCAGCAAAGCCAAUUUUAAAAGAGGCUAUAUGGCCAAUCACUAUUCUUUCUACACAUUAUUGCAAAUAAUCAGGCCACGGCUGGGCACGGUGGCUCAUGCCUGCAAUCCCAGCACUUUGGGAGGCUGAGGCAGGAUCACCUGAAAUCAGGAGUUCAAGACCAGCCUAGGCAACAUGAUAAAACCCUGUCUCUACUAAAAAUACAAAA
This is a long non-coding RNA of Homo sapiens (human), 1418 nucleotides long. Ensembl annotates it as prostate cancer associated transcript 19. Its record names the gene PCAT19. Lineage: Eukaryota; Metazoa; Chordata; Mammalia; Primates; Hominidae. The record is from Ensembl.